UGGGGAAUAUUGGACAAUGGGGGAAACCCUGAUCCAGCAAUGCCGCGUGAGUGAAGAAGGCCUUAGGGUUGUAAAGCUCUUUCAGCGGGGAAGAUGAUGACGGUACCCGCAGAAGAAGCCCCGGCUAACUCCGUGCCAGCAGCCGCGGUAAUACGGAGGGGGCUAGCGUUGUUCGGAAUUACUGGGCGUAAAGCGCACGUAGGCGGUGGCGCAUGUCAGAUGUGAAAGCCCUGGGCUUAACCUAGGAAUUGCAUUUGAAACUGCGUCGCUAGAGGCCGGAAGAGGGUAGUGGAAUUCCCAGUGUAGAGGUGAAAUUCGUAGAUAUUGGGAAGAACACCGGUGGCUAAGGCGGCUACCUGGUCCGGUUCUGACGCUGAGGUGCGAAAGCGUGGGGAGCAAACAGG
RNAcentral lists this ribosomal RNA (404 nucleotides) under Bacillota bacterium. Its description in RNAcentral is "Firmicutes bacterium partial 16S ribosomal RNA". It matches the Rfam family "Bacterial small subunit ribosomal RNA", at positions 355 to 776 of the family's 1533-position model. The record is from RNAcentral. Lineage: Bacteria; Bacillati; Bacillota.